GACGGACGCUGGCGGCGUGCUUAACACAUGCAAGUCGAACGGAAAGGCCCCAGCUUGCUGGGGUACUCGAGUGGCGAACGGGUGAGUAACACGUGGGUGAUCUGCCCUGCACUCUGGGAUAAGCCUGGGAAACUGUGUCUAAUACCGGAUAGGACCGUGCUUUAGUGUGUGCGGUGGAAAGUUUUUCGGUGCAGGAUGAGCCCGCGGCCUAUCAGCUUGUUGGUGGGGUAAUGGCCUACCAAGGCGGCGACGGGUAGCCGGCCUGAGAGGGUGUACGGCCACAUUGGGACUGAGACACGGCCCAGACUCCUACGGGAGGCAGCAGUGGGGAAUAUUGCACAAUGGGCGCAAGCCUGAUGCAGCGACGCCGCGUGGGGGAUGACGGCCUUCGGGUUGUAAACCCCUUUCGGCAGGGACGAAGCUUUUGUGACGGUACCUGCAUAAGAAGCACCGGCUAACUACGUG
RNAcentral lists this ribosomal RNA (465 nucleotides) under uncultured bacterium. RNAcentral's name for it is "partial 16S ribosomal RNA". It matches the Rfam family "Bacterial small subunit ribosomal RNA", at positions 28 to 507 of the family's 1533-position model. The record is from RNAcentral.